GCCAGGGGACCAGACCCAUAGACUGGAGGUAUUAGUUUCCAUCCUGGCCAGGGGACCAGACCCAUAGACUGGAGGUAUUAGUUUCCAUCCUGGCCAGGGGACCAGACCCAUAGACUGGAGGUAUUAGUUUCCAUCCUGGCCAGGGGACCAGACCCAUAGACUGGAGGUAUUAGUUUCCAUCCUGGCCAGGGGACCAGACCCAUAGACUGGAGGUAUUGGUUUACAUCCUGGCCAGGGGACCAGACCCAUAGACUGGAGGUAUUAGUUUCCAUCCUGGCCAGGGGACCAGACCCAUAGACUGGAGGUAUUAGUUUCCAUCCUGGCCAGGGGACCAGACCCAUAGACUGG
RNAcentral lists this long non-coding RNA (348 nucleotides) under Salmo salar (Atlantic salmon). Its description in RNAcentral is "lncRNA (ENSSSAG00000095968.1)". Lineage: Eukaryota; Metazoa; Chordata; Actinopteri; Salmoniformes; Salmonidae. The record is from RNAcentral.